AGGCAAAAUCAUUAGAAGCUAGUAAAUAAGAGCCAUGUUUAGAUGAGAUUUUGCAAAGGCCGCCCUGGAAAGGCAGGGCAGCGCCAAAAUUCCAGGACUGCCCUUGCAAAAGAAGCUCCGUACUAGAAAUCCGGGAUCAUAUUCUAGUCUGGCUCUGAGCCAUGUGACCUUGGGUGAAUCAAGUCAACACUCUGCACCUGAACUUCUCGCUUUCUAAAAUUGAUUCAACUACCCUGAUCAACUUCUGUACUGUCUAAACUAUCAACGAUACUGAUCAGCCUCAACUAUACCGAUCCCCGACUUGCAACAUCUCUAAGUCAUCGCCUAUCGGGAAACCUGGUGAGAGCUCCCCACUCUCCCACAGUCUGGUUUAGCUUAUAAUCCUCUUGAUUUGCAAUGUGUUGGAGCCAGCUCAGGUCAGCAGGAAAGCUCACAGAAAUGGGAGAUUUGGACAAGACAACACACAUAGGGAGGACACCAUGUGAAGACGAAGGCAGAGAUUGGAGUGAUGUAUCUACAAGCCAAGGAAUACCAGAGAUGGCCAGCAAACCACCCGAAGACAGGGGAGAGGCAUGGAACAGAUUCUCCCUCAUAGCCCUCAAGAGGAAUCAACCUGCCCACACCUUGAUCUUGGACUUCUAACCUCCAGAACUGUGUGAGAAUAAAUGCCUGUUGCUUAA
Molecule: long non-coding RNA, 680 nt
Organism: Canis lupus familiaris (dog)
Lineage: Eukaryota; Metazoa; Chordata; Mammalia; Carnivora; Canidae
Exons: 2
Source: RefSeq, a predicted model, not a curated record